AGUGAACGCUGGCGGUAUGCCUAAUACAUGCAAGUCGAACGACAACAUAAUAAGAUUUUUCUCUUACGGUUAGCGAGUGACGGACGGGUAACGCGUGCGUCAGCUACCUAUUUUUCGUGGAUAAUACCGUAGAGAAACUUCUGCUGCCACCGCACACUUCCUACCGCUUAAUUCAGAAGUUAUUCGUACCUUUCCCAUUUGAUUGAGCUGAAGCCGGAUUAGCUAGUUGGCUUGGUAAAGGCACACCAAGGCGACGAUACGUAGCUGGUCUGAGAGGAUGAUCAGCCACACUGGAACUGAGACACGGUCCAGACUCCUACGGGAGGCAGCAGUGGGGAAUAUUGGACAAUGGGCGCAAGCCUGAUCCAGCCAUGCCGCGUGAGUGAUGAAGGCCUUCGGGUCGUAAAGCUCUUUUAUUGGGAAAGAAAAAAUGCGGGUUAAUACCCCGCUGUUCUGACGGUACCUAAUGAAUAAGCACCGGCUAACUACGUG
This 492-nucleotide ribosomal RNA is filed under the name uncultured bacterium. RNAcentral describes it as "partial 16S ribosomal RNA". It matches the Rfam family "Bacterial small subunit ribosomal RNA", at positions 29 to 507 of the family's 1533-position model. The record is from RNAcentral.